Molecule: ribosomal RNA, 490 nt
Filed under: uncultured bacterium
Lineage: Bacteria
Description: bacterial SSU rRNA
Rfam family: Bacterial small subunit ribosomal RNA
Source: RNAcentral
AGAGUUUGAUCCUGGCUCAGGACGAACGCUGGCGGCGUGCUUAACACAUGCAAGUCGAACGGAAAGGCCCCUUCGGGGGUGCUCGAGUGGCGAACGGGUGAGUAACACGUGGGUGAUCUGCCCUGCACUUCGGGAUAAGCUUGGGAAACUGGGUCUAAUACCGGAUAGGACUACGGGAUGCAUGUCUUGUGGUGGAAAGCUUUUGCGGUGUGGGAUGGGCCCGCGGCCUAUCAGCUUGUUGGUGGGGUGAUGGCCUACCAAGGCGACGACGGGUAGCCGGCCUGAGAGGGUGUCCGGCCACACUGGGACUGAGAUACGGCCCAGACUCCUACGGGAGGCAGCAGUGGGGAAUAUUGCACAAUGGGCGCAAGCCUGAUGCAGCGACGCCGCGUGGGGGAUGACGGCCUUCGGGUUGUAAACCUCUUUCAGCAGGGACGAAGCGCAAGUGACGGUACCUGUAGAAGAAGCACCGGCCAACUACGUGCCAGCA